AAACAGUUGUAAGUCAAGGAUUACCUGUAUCUCACACCCCUCCCAGUCACCCUCCGGAGAAAAUUAAAGAGACAAUUUUGCAACACAGCACAGAAUGGGACGUGUUUCGUUUAAGAAACAGCACAGACAGUUCCAGGUUUCCUCAAGCCUCAAGUAUUUUAUUUGCAAUAUUUUAUCUGUCAUUUGUCAGUGACUGUUAAUACUUCCACACAACUCCCUCCCACAAAGGGAACUCAUGCCAAAUAUCUCAUUUCCCUCCACCACUCCCUCUUAAAAGUUAAAUACUGUUCAGGACGUUUUUUUUUCUGCUGGACAAAUAGCAAAAGCAUUUUUGAAACGAAGAUGAACUGCAAACUGCAAACCUCAAACCUUUAAAUAUGUGCAUGCCCACAACAGCUGUAAUAGCAGAGAUUGUCAGCUAGAGAAGAAGACGACAAUGAUUUCAAAGUUUGAAUCAGGUAGAGGUGUGUGUGUGUGUGUGUGUGUGUGUGUGUGUGUGUGUGGAGGGACAUGCAGCAAGCCACUGCCAAAAAAUCUGAUGUGUAUAUUUUUUGAGAAAAAU
Molecule: non-coding RNA, 562 nt
Organism: Pseudonaja textilis
Lineage: Eukaryota; Metazoa; Chordata; Lepidosauria; Squamata; Elapidae
Source: RefSeq, a predicted model, not a curated record